UGAGAGGCCCAGGCGGCCGCUCUCCAGGACCGCGAGGCACAGGCAACUGGGCCGAGCGAGCUGGGAGGGAGGAAAGUCCGGGCUCCUCGGGUCAGUGUGGUUGCUAACGGCAACCGGCCGUGAGGCCAGGGAAAGUGCAACAGAGAGUAGACCGCCAACCCCGCGCUUCGGUGCGGGCGGCAAGGCUGAAAGGGUGCGGUAAGAGCGCACCGCAGUUCCUGGUGACAGGACUGGCAAGGUAAACCCCACGCGGAGAAAGACCAAAUAGGGAAGGUCAACGGGCGAUGACCCGCGCUCACACCUUCCGGGUAGGUCGUUCGAGGCCGGAGGCAACUCCGGUCCCAGAGAAAUGGUCGUCGCCUCCCCUCACGGGGAGGAACAGAACCCGGCUUAUCGGACCUCUCACUUC
This 409-nucleotide RNase P RNA is filed under the name Planctomycetota bacterium. Its description in RNAcentral is "Planctomycetes bacterium RNase P RNA component class A". It matches the Rfam family "Bacterial RNase P class A". Rfam says of the family: Ribonuclease P (RNase P) is a ubiquitous endoribonuclease, found in archaea, bacteria and eukarya as well as chloroplasts and mitochondria. Its best characterised activity is the generation of mature 5'-ends of tRNAs by cleaving the 5'-leader elements of precursor-tRNAs. The record is from RNAcentral. Lineage: Bacteria; Pseudomonadati; Planctomycetota.